UGUGGGAGCGGGCUUGCUCGCGAUGCAAACGAUGCGGUCUGUCUGGCGCAGCGCGCCGAUGCCAUCGCGAGCAAGCCCGCUCCCACA
Molecule: non-coding RNA, 87 nt
Filed under: Pseudomonas psychrophila
Lineage: Bacteria; Pseudomonadati; Pseudomonadota; Gammaproteobacteria; Pseudomonadales; Pseudomonadaceae
Source: RNAcentral